CCCUUUCCUCUCACGGCUUCUCCUUCCCGAUGCCUCCUCCCUUCUUCUCGUUCUCUUUCUCCUACUCCUCCUCCCAUGGCUGCUCCACCCUUAAAUCACCCAAACUCAGCGCCUAAUACUUGAGGGGAAGUAGCAAAAUGGAACGAGGAGAGCGAGAGGAGCAUGGAGAGGUGUAUCUUCGAGGUGGAUUGACCCUUUUUCCUCCCUUUCCGUUGUCCUAGGGUUUGGGGAAAACCAAGGUUGUGCUUUGAAGAGAGCAUGGGAAAAUGGGUUAGUUGCACAUCCUACACCUUUACAAGAUCCCAUAAUGCUAAGACGGUUUGUCCUGAGUCCAAGAGAUGGUAGAGAACCCUUGCUAAUGUUGUUAAAGAUAGAGUUGUUCUAUCGGAGUA
This is a long non-coding RNA of Panicum virgatum (switchgrass), 392 nucleotides long. RefSeq lists it as uncharacterized. Lineage: Eukaryota; Viridiplantae; Streptophyta; Magnoliopsida; Poales; Poaceae. The transcript is spliced from 2 exons. The record is from RefSeq and is a predicted model, not a curated record.